AGGAGAGUUCCUUUAUUGGCAAAAAGGGUUGAGCUGUAAACUCAAUAGCAAUUUUCUGCUUUAUGAGUUCGAAUCUCUUGUCUCCUA
This 87-nucleotide transfer RNA is filed under the name Colletotrichum gloeosporioides. RNAcentral describes it as "tRNA-Tyr". It matches the Rfam family "tRNA". From Rfam's summary of the family: Transfer RNA (tRNA) molecules are approximately 80 nucleotides in length. Their secondary structure includes four short double-helical elements and three loops (D, anti-codon, and T loops). The record is from RNAcentral. Lineage: Eukaryota; Fungi; Ascomycota; Sordariomycetes; Glomerellales; Glomerellaceae. RNAcentral also lists the same sequence under 3 other names.